This 49-nucleotide ribosomal RNA is filed under the name Cololejeunea obliqua. RNAcentral describes it as "partial 18S ribosomal RNA". It matches the Rfam family "Eukaryotic small subunit ribosomal RNA", at positions 1783 to 1831 of the family's 1831-position model. Lineage: Eukaryota; Viridiplantae; Streptophyta; Jungermanniopsida; Porellales; Lejeuneaceae. The record is from RNAcentral.
GAGAAGUCGUAAAAGGUUUCCGUAGGUGAACCUGCGGAAGGAUCAUUGA